Molecule: long non-coding RNA, 5554 nt
Organism: Homo sapiens (human)
Lineage: Eukaryota; Metazoa; Chordata; Mammalia; Primates; Hominidae
Gene: CELF2-DT
Product: CELF2 divergent transript
Source: Ensembl
CUUCUUCCGGCUGGGUUCCACUACCUGCAAGGCUGGAACUGACAGCCACUGUGCAAACAAAAAAAGGCAACAAGCAUGCUGGGACCAUUCUGUCUGCUGUUUGGGUCUCACUUGUCCUGACAACUAAAAAUCAUCAGUGGAAAGAAGCUAGAGUCAUCCUAACAAGAGUGAUAGUCUUUCCCCAAGUGAGACCAGGCUGUGCUGUCUGGGGAAAAGCAUUGCUGGCCUUGUCGAGAUGCACCGACGACUCAGCUCAGCUAAGGACUUAACCAGUACAGGACUUGCUGCAGCGGAGCCUGAGCUGGAUAUGGAAAGCAAAAGCUUUGGACUUAAAGCUUCAUCUGAGUGCUCGGCUCCGCUUGGAUGUUUCACAGGUUCUACAGCCCCCAGCUGAAGUUAUGGUCUCCAACCACCCGCUACCUGUUCUCCCUUCCUGCUUUUCCAUCUCCAUAAAUGGCAGCACAUCUGUCCAUGGGCUUAAGAAACACCAGGACCUUCUUAUAGAGUGUCUUACAGUAUCCUUAAAGACUCCCUCCUCCGGGUGGAUCACGAGGUCAAGAGAUCGAGACCAUCCUGGCCAACAUGGUGAAACCCUGUCUCUACUAAAAAUACAAAAAUUAGCCGGGCGUGGUGGCGGGCACUUGUAAUCCCAGCUACUCGGGAGGCUGAGGCAGGAGAAUGUCGUGAACCCGGGAGGCGGAGCUUGCAGUGAGCCGAGAUCGCACCACUGCACUCCAGCCUGGGCAACAGAGGGAGACUCCGUCUCAAAAUAAAUAAAUAAAUAAAUAAAUAAAUAAAUAAAUAAAUAAAUAAAUAAAUAAAAGACUCCUUCUGCACCCGUUCAAAACCACUCAAUAACCUGACAAUUAUUUGCCUACUAAUUAUUUUCUGAAUUCGUUGCCCUGUCUUCUUUCCGACUUCAGCUUUCUAAAAUGAACCCCUCUGGCCAGGCGCGGUGGCUCACGCCUGUAAUCUCAGGACUCUGGAAGGCCAAGGCGGGCAGAUUGCCUGAGGUCAGAAGUUCGAGACCAGCCUGGCCAACAUGGCAAAACACUGUCUCUGCUGAAAAUACAAAAAUUAGCCGGGUGUGGUGGCGGGCACCUGUAAUCCCAGCUACUCGGGAGGCUGAGGCAGGACAAUCGCUUGAACCAGGGAGGUGGAGGUUGCAGAGAGCUGAGAUCACACCACUGCACUCCAGCCUGGGAAACAGGAGGGAAACUCCAUCUCAAAACAAAACAAAAAACAAAAUGAACCCCUCCUUCCCUCCUAUCUGGGUGACUAGUUUCCCCAGUGGUCUCUUUCUCUCUCUCUUCUUCUGGUCUUGGCUCCCAUCUGUAUCCUCCACAGAGUAAUGGCAGAGCACUAAUGUUAACAACAAACUCUCAUUUUCUCACCCAAUCCCCUUCCAUCGCUCCCACUGACUAAAGACAAUCAAAACUGUUUCACAUGACAUUGACCCGGCCUCUGCCCUCCUCUCCACCCUCACUUUCCUUCAUGCUCCAAAGGGAUGCCUGUGUCUAGUAAUUCCACGCUGCUUGUUGUUGUUGCACAUGAAGGAUCUUCCCACUUUUGUGUCUUUGCCUGUGCAGUCACUCUUUCCUGUCAUUUUCUUUCCUAAGUCCUUCCUCUGAUUUUUUUUUUUACUCAUCCUAUUAAACCGCAAGCAGCCUCUCUUCCAGGAGGCCUCCAGGACACCCUAGGUGAGUUUCCUGUCUCUCUGCUUCCAUAGCAGCUGUUACUAAUCUUCACCAUAGCACCCAACACCCUAUUCAAUCUGCGUUUGGGUCUUUGCUGUACUGUAACCAUUACAAAGUCAGGAACGGAUCUUUCCCAUCUUUGAAUCUUCAGUGCCUGGCAUCAAGCUUCUCUGAGAUGGCUGGGUGCGGUGGCUUAUGCCUGUAAUCCCAGCACUUUGGGAGGCGGAGGUGGGCAGAUCAUUUGAGGCCAGAAGUUUAAGACCAGCCUGGGCAACAUGGAAAAACCCACCCUCUAUUAAAAACGUCAAAAAUUAACUGGGUGUAGUGGUGCGCACCUGCAAUCCCAGCUACUCAGGAGGCUGAGGCUUGAGAAUUGCUUUAACCCAGGAGGGAGAGGUUGCAGUGAGCCGAGAUCAUGCUACUUGCACUCCAGCCUGGGCAUCAGAGUGAGACCCUGUCUCAAAACAAAACAAAACAAAACAAAACAAAACAAAACAAAACAAACAGACUAAAACUUCUCUGAGGAGAGAAGGCCAACAUUUUAACAGGAUUAAAUAUUAGGUAAUAUAAUUUAAGGUUAUUGAUAUGAUGCUAUUACUUCUGGUGUAGUUGUCUGCUAACUAUUUUUCAGUUAAGACAUUUUUUAUUUAAAAGUUCUUAUUAGACAUCUCAUUUUGAAUCAAACUUAAAAGCUAAAAAGAAGAAUACUGAAAAGAAGGCAGUGUCAAGUUUUCAAAAGAAGACACUAUUGCCUGCUCUUUGCAGAACAGAUUUGAGCAGUUUCUGGAUAUUGUUCCUGUGGGCACAUGGGGGUAACAUGCUGCAUAGGAACACAGAGCCGUAGACCACAUUGAAUCCAGGAGGAAACAAUACUCCUGGGUAUUAAGGAAAGAGGGAAAAAUAAACCCCAAGCCUUUAGGUUCUGUGAUCUCCAGUGAUGAACCCACUGCUUGCUAGCCUGAGCUCCCAGCUCUGGGUGGUGCGUUCCACACUCCUUCACUCCACUGGGCACCACUGAGUGUUUGAGCAGACAUAGCCAGAUGUGCUGGUUACACUGCAUUCCAGAGGCAGGAUGGCAUAAAUUAGUUUCUAAUGGCUCAGACGAGUAAGCGUGCCCCACCAAACACCUCACUUACCAGAAGGAAAUGAGUUAUGCAGUAGGGACCACUCUUCAUUAACCAAUAUGAGUUAAAGGGUUGUGUGUUCAGAAGCUAUUCAAUGGCUUUCCAAAUGGCACACAUCUUACUUAACCUUUGCAAACAGAGGGCCAGUCAGAUUUUGAAUCUGAGGAGGAGUUAAGGUUAUCCGUUACAGCCACCCAUGAGCUUUCUUGGAAAAUAUAUUGCUGUCUGUGCAGGGAAGGACUGCAUGACUGGGUAUUUAAUGUGACAACCAUUCGUGCUUUGCAAGGGCAACACAAAAAGGAGAUUUUUAGAAGGUUUGCUGGUCUCUGAUGGUUUCACAAAUAUCAAGAAUGACAUUUCCAUUAAAAAUGGCCCAAAUGCUUUCAUUGCAUUUUAAGAACCUCAGACUUCAGAAAGAAGCCAAGAUGUCUCUCUGUCAGUUCCAGUCGACCAGCAGUCACUGUCAAAGGCAAUAUCUAAAUGGCUACAAGAUGUGUUCUGAUUCCAUACAUGUCAAAAGGCAAUUCCGAAAUGUAACACCAAAAAUUUUAAUAACUUUUUUUCUGCCUGAAAAUGAAUAUAUACAUUUAUAUUCUCCUGUGUAUUAGUAAAUUGUUGAAUUUUUAGGAGUAUUAAUACUGUGUUAUCUUUACCAGAAAUAGCAAUUACUAUAAUGGGCAUUUGCAUAGCAUGUCAUGUUUAAGAGUGUACUUCUUCACGUUCUAAUUUGAUCUUUAUAAAGCGUUUGUGAAAUAGAAAGGAGUCCAUUAUCUUCCAUUUAUUUUACAGAUUGGGAAACUGUAGAUAAGAGAAGUUAAAGUUAAGAAUCUGCACUGAAUUUCUGAUCCUUGAUGAUAGUCUAGUUUUGAGAGUCAUGGAUGUCUGGGUUGGACAAAAACUUGGUCCAACUUUGAUUUUAAAAAAUUUGAAAUAUUAAACUCUCAUACAUCUAUUCUGCUAUGAGUUAGUUAACUAAGAAAGUCACAAUUUGACCUCUAGGACCUAUGACAAGGAGAACACCAUGUGGUUGAUCAAGAGGGCCGAGUGAGCUAUUUUGUAACUUAAAUAUUUCAUCGUAGAUAUUGCUCAUGGAUAAUGAACACAACUAGCCGCUGAGAGAAAGAAGGCUCAGUGGUGUCCUGGUGCAAAAGUCACAGAGGGUUCUAGAGUUUUGUAGUGGGGUCCCAGUGACCUUGGCACUGUGCAAAAGCUGUGGUCAGAGAGAUGACUAGAGAGCCCAGAAGAGAAUUCACAGGUGAGUGGUAUUGUGAAGCAAUGGCAAGCUGGGAUGUGGGCUUGGUUUUGCAAAGCUCUGCUUCUCUCAAUUUCAUGUACCUAGGAAGCGCACUUGGAUCUUGUUAAAAUCCAGAUUUGAAUUCAGCGGAUCUGCAGGGAGGCCUAAGCAUCUGCAUUUUUUUUUUUUUUUUUUUUGGCAGCCUCCUAGGUAACACUAUUGAUGCUGGUCCACAGACCAUCUUUGAAUAGCAAGAUUAUAAAGAACCACACCAGGAACCUAGCUUCCCUCUAACCCCAGUUCAGCCACUUCUACUUCUUGGCUUACAAGUCCCAAGAGCUAGCUUAUGAGAUGGGAAUGGAGUAAUCUCCAUUGUUUUAUUUUACCAGUCAUUUAUCUUCUCCCCAGAGAAAAUACUACUUAGUGUCUGCUGCUCGAUGCCAUUCCAAUCCAUUGCCGAGAAAGAGAAAUAUAACUCGUAGACACAGAGACUGUGUAUCCACAAAUGAAAACAUGUUUCUAAAAUCCGAAAAGAGCAGUCAAGAUAUACAGGUAUUUCUGAGAGAUAAAGCUUCAUCCCUCAUGCAAACAGGUGACCAAAAUAUUUCCUUUUUUUUUUUCAGUCAGAAAAACAGUAGAAUAGACCUGUGCCUUUGCAAGUAGGAGAGCCCCUGCCUCUACUAUGCUCCCCUCAAAUCCAACUCCUAGUUCAACACAGGCUUUUACUCAAAAUGGCUCUGUUUACAAGUGGCAAAGCUGAGUCACAGUGAACUCUGUGGCCACACGACGCAUCCAUCUAUGCAUGUGGAUAUUCUAAUGUAUUCUGUAAUGAAGAAGAUCUUGUUUUAAGAUCUUCUGAGAUGUUCUUCCCUCAUUAAUAUGUAGAGAUUUUUAUUAUUCACAGAUUGCAUAUUUGCGAAUUCACCUACUCACUGAAAUUUAUUUGUAACCCUCCAAACGAAUACUCACUGUUGCUUUUUCAGCAGUUUGCAAACAAAUGCAGAACAACCAAAAAAUCUAAAGUUGCCCAUCUGCCUUCCCAGGUGAGGUUGAAUAAGGCACGAGGCUGUACCUGCGUCUCAGUUCUCAUACUGUAAACAAGUCUCCUUCUCGUGGUCUAUUUUUCAUGGUUUUGUGCCUUUUGUUAGUGAUUUUACUGUUUAAAAUGGCCCCCAAGAGUAACGUUGGAAUCUUAUCUAGUGCCUCUAAGUGCAAGAAGGCUGUGGUGUGCCUUUUGGAGAAAAAUCUGUGUGUUAUAUAAGCUUUCUUCAGGCAUGAGUUUUGGUGCUGUGGGCCAUGAGUUCAAUGUUAAUGCAUCGAUAUGUAUAUUAAACGGCUUUAAACAAGAACAUAUGCAAAACAAGGUCACGUAUUGAUUAGUUGAUGAAAACGUUGUAAUCAGACACUCAUGGGCAGCUAGCCCUGUAUUUCUCUUAGCAGCAAGCGUUCAGUAUUUGCUAAUUCAGUGUUUGCAGUGACUUCAUAGAAUAUAACUACUG